UGCUCAGAGCACCACUUCCUCUUACGGCAACAGCCACCAGAUCUGCGCUGUGAUCAGCCCUGUAUUCAACCACCUCUCCUGACAAGUGCUGGCAGAAUGUGGCUCCUGUCCCAGCUGGUCCUGGUGGCCUCCCUUUGCAGCUAUACAAAUGGAGGCAUUUUCAUAACACAAUUCAUACCAUCCAUUACCAAGAAAAAAGGAAACACAGCAUUUUUAGAAUGCCAAGUAAAAACAGGUGUCUUAAAGAAAAACGUAAAUAUACACUGGUAUCGACAGAGGCCAGACCAGCCUCUAAAACGCAUUCUGUAUAUUUCCUCAAAUGAAAAUGUGGUCCACGAACAAGGUGUUAGUGAGGAAAAAUAUGAAGCCAGAAAACGACAGAGGGAUUUGCCAGCGAGCCUGAGGAUACACAAAAUUAGUGAGGAUGAUGCUGGGCUGUAUUACUGCGCCUGCUGGGAUCCACUCUCUAACCAGUGUGAUGAAUCAGGAUGGAUCAAGAUAUUUGCAGAAGGAACUAAGCUCAUAGUAACUCCCCCAGAUAAAAGCCCUAAUGAAGACACUUCCCCCAAGCCCAUGAUUUUUCUUCCUUCACCUGCUGAAAGAACACUCCAUAAGACUGGAACAUAUCUUUGUCUUCUUGAGGAUUUUUUCCCUGAUGUUAUCAAGGUAGAUUGGAAAGAGAAAGAUGGCAAAACAAUUCUGAAAUCCCAGCAGGGAAACACCAUGAAGAAUAAGGACACAUACAUGAAAUACACCUGGCUGACUGUGACAGAAAAGUCAAUGGAUAAAGAACACAAAUGUAUUGUCAAACACGAGAAGAAUAAAGGAGGGGUUGAUCAAGAGAUUCUGUUUCCUUCAAUAAACACAGAACUCCCUGCUAUUAAUUCUACAGAAGCUUCGCUGAAAGAUGAAAAUGACCCCCUACAGCUGCAGCUAGUGACCAGCUCUGCCUACUACACCUAUAUCAUCCUCCUCGUCAAGAGCGUGGUCUACACCAUCAUCAUCGCCUACCGUCUACUUGGGAGACCAGCACUCUGCCGCAAUGAGAAGAGUUCCUAACCCAUGGUGGCCCAAGGCUCCACUUUUCUUUACUGGCUACUGUCGCUAACGGUGUCUGCUGAGGCUCUAGCGGGGCUUUCUUUCUGGGUUUGGGUUAUUUCAGUUCACAUGUCUUUUUCUAUGUGUCAUCAUUGCAGAACAGGCUUACAAACCACUGGGCAAACGGGAAAUGUCACUCUGCACCAAGAACAGACUCUGCCAUGAGUCAGGGGUGGAGCCGGGGGGCACUCACGGGGGCUUCAGCACCACUCUCUCCUUCACGCCCACCAGCCCGUCAGCCACCCAGCACCCUCACCUCUGAGUAUAGCCGGCGUGCAGCUUCCAUCGCGGCCCCUGGGGCUCUGUAUCCAGAUAACUGCCUGGAGGCCUUUUAUUUUACAUACAUGGAAGCCUUCAUCCUUGCUGCCUGAACUUUGUGCUGUUUUUCAUAAUAGGCACAAUAAAAACAAUCAAAAGCCUACAUUUGCCUCUGUGUGUUUUCAUUCGGUGAAAU
Non-coding RNA from Panthera uncia (snow leopard), 1552 nucleotides. NCBI's taxonomy places the organism in Eukaryota, Metazoa, Chordata, Mammalia, Carnivora, Felidae. The record is from the annotation of a RefSeq genome assembly.